GGGCCCGCACAAGCGGUGGAGCAUGUGGUUUAAUUCGAUGAUACGCGAGGAACCUUACCAGGGCUUAAAUGUAGUCUGACAGGGGUGGAAACACCCCCUCCUUCGGGCAGAUUACAAGGUGCUGCAUGGUUGUCGUCAGCUCGUGCCGUGAGGUGUCAGGUUAAGUCCUAUAACGAGCGCAACCCCUGCCGUUAGUUGCCAGCAUGUAAUGAUGGGAACUCUAACGGGACUGCCGGUGCAAACCGCGAGGAAGGUGGGGAUGACGUCAAAUCAUCACGGCCCUUACGUCCUGGGCUACACACGUGCUACAAUGGCCGGUACAGAGGGCAGCCACACCGCAAGGUGGAGCGAAUCCGAGAAAGCCGGUCGUAGUCCGGAUUGUAGGCUGCAACUCGCCUACAUG
RNAcentral lists this ribosomal RNA (403 nucleotides) under uncultured bacterium. RNAcentral describes it as "bacterial SSU rRNA". It matches the Rfam family "Bacterial small subunit ribosomal RNA", at positions 917 to 1322 of the family's 1533-position model. The record is from RNAcentral.